UACGUAGGUGGCAAGCGUUAUCCGGAUUUAUUGGGCGUAAAGAGAACGCAGGCGGUCUUUUAAGUCUGAUGUGAAAGCCUUCGGCUUAACCGGAGUAGUGCAUUGGAAACUGGGAGACUUGAGUGCAGAAGAGGAGAGUGGGACUCCAUGUGUAGCGGUGAAAUGCGUAGAUAUAUGGAAGAACACCAGUGGCGAAAGCGGCUCUCUGGUCUGUAACUGACGCUGAGGUUCGAAAGCGUGGGUAGCAAACAGG
Molecule: ribosomal RNA, 253 nt
Filed under: uncultured bacterium
Lineage: Bacteria
Description: partial 16S ribosomal RNA
Rfam family: Bacterial small subunit ribosomal RNA
Source: RNAcentral